UACGGGGGGAGCAAGCGUUGUUCGGAUUUACUGGGCGUAAAGGGCGCGUAGGCGGCCAGCACAAGUCAGUUGUGAAAUCUCCGAGCUUAACUCGGAACGGUCAACUGAUACUGUGCGGCUAGAGUGCGGAAGGGGCAACUGGAAUUCUUGGUGUAGCGGUGAAAUGCGUAGAUAUCAGGAAGAACACCAAUGGCGAAAGCAGCUCUCUGGGACGGUACUGACGCUGAGACGCGAAAGCGUGGGGAGCGAACAGG
This 254-nucleotide ribosomal RNA is filed under the name uncultured bacterium. RNAcentral describes it as "partial 16S ribosomal RNA". It matches the Rfam family "Bacterial small subunit ribosomal RNA", at positions 524 to 776 of the family's 1533-position model. The record is from RNAcentral.